This 106-nucleotide transfer RNA is filed under the name Nanobdellota archaeon. Its description in RNAcentral is "tRNA-Arg". It matches the Rfam family "tRNA". From Rfam's summary of the family: Transfer RNA (tRNA) molecules are approximately 80 nucleotides in length. Their secondary structure includes four short double-helical elements and three loops (D, anti-codon, and T loops). Further hydrogen bonds mediate the characteristic L-shaped molecular structure. tRNAs have two regions of fundamental functional importance: the anti-codon, which is responsible for specific mRNA codon recognition, and the 3' end, to which the tRNAs corresponding amino acid is attached (by aminoacyl-tRNA synthetases). tRNAs cope with the degeneracy of the genetic code in two manners: having more than one tRNA (with a specific anti-codon) for a particular amino acid; and 'wobble' base-pairing, i.e. permitting non-standard base-pairing at the 3rd anti-codon position. Lineage: Archaea; Nanobdellati; Nanobdellota. The record is from RNAcentral.
GGGCCCGUAGCUCAGCUGGAUAGAGCGAAAGCUUCCUAAGCUUUAGGUCGGGCGUUCGAUGGAUCCGGUUCCGAUACCUCCUCUGAAGAAAAUCGCCUCGGGUCCG